AAACCAUGGUGUGGGCAUUGAGCUUGGUAGCCUUUAAAUCUCUCACAGGCUUCACUGAAGCCUUCCAAGUUCUUCUGUUGAAAGCUGGAAAUCUCAUUUCUCAGCUU
Molecule: small nucleolar RNA, 107 nt
Filed under: Brassica napus (rape)
Lineage: Eukaryota; Viridiplantae; Streptophyta; Magnoliopsida; Brassicales; Brassicaceae
Description: Plant small nucleolar RNA R71
Rfam family: Plant small nucleolar RNA R71
About the family: R71 is a member of the C/D box family of snoRNAs containing the C (UGAUGA) and D (CUGA) box motifs. Multiple nearly identical copies of this snoRNA have been identified in Arabidopsis, and it is thought to function as a 2'-O-ribose methylation guide for 18S ribosomal RNA.
Source: Rfam by way of RNAcentral